Molecule: unclassified non-coding RNA, 331 nt
Filed under: soil metagenome
Description: partial contains 5.8S ribosomal RNA, internal transcribed spacer 2, and large subunit ribosomal RNA
Rfam family: 5.8S ribosomal RNA (bases 1-120)
Source: RNAcentral
GAUGAAGAACGUAGCGAAAUGCGAUAAAUAAUGUGAAUUGCAGAAUUCAGUGAAUCAUCGAAUCUUUGAACGCACAUUGCGCCCCCUGGUAUUCCGGGGGGCAUGCCUGUUCGAGCGCCAUUUCACCACUCAAGCCUCGCUUGGUAUUGGGCAACGCGGUCCGCCGCGUGCCUCAAAUCGACCGGCUGGGUCUUCUGUCCCCUAAGCGUUGUGGAAACUAUUCGCUAAAGGGUGUUCGGGAGGCUACGCCGUAAAACAACCCCAUUUCUAAGGUUGACCUCGGAUCAGGUAGGGAUACCCGCUGAACUUAAGCAUAUCAAUAAGCGGAGGA